UGUGAUUGCAGUUCGUUUCAGCCUUUACAUACGUUUUUGUUGUUGUUGUUGUUUUUCACAGGGUGGCCAGGGUGUUCCUGGACUUCCUGGCCUGGAUGGUGAAAGGGGUCACAAAGGUUCAAAAGGGGACAUGGGAAUCCCGGGAAUAUCCGGAGAAAAAGGAUCAAUGGGUCUUCCUGGGUUACAGGGUGUGAAUGGUCUGAAAGGAGACAAAGGAGAUACUGGUUUGCCUGGCCCUCAGGGACCCUCGAUUAUUGGGGC
Molecule: long non-coding RNA, 261 nt
Organism: Puntigrus tetrazona (Sumatra barb)
Lineage: Eukaryota; Metazoa; Chordata; Actinopteri; Cypriniformes; Cyprinidae
Exons: 4
Source: RefSeq, a predicted model, not a curated record